CUUCCCUUGGUGUGAAUCUGCAUCAUGGCGGCCUCAGUGAAAACAGGAGAAUUAAAGAAAGCCAUUAAAAACAUUUUGAAAGAUGCCGACCUCGACUCUUUGUCGGCGAAGAAAGUUCGGCGAAAAUUGGAAGAUACAUUCGGAAUCGACCUUACAGCGAGGAAACAAGAGAUCGAUGCCCUUACCAUGAAGAUGAUUACGGAAGGACAAGAGGAGGAAGAGAAGGAGGAGCAAGAAGAAGAACCUAAGUCAAAAUCAAGGAAAACAACCAACAUAAAAUCAAAAGGCAAUGAUCACAUGACACAAAAUGGCCGGGCGAAAAAAGACACAAGUGAUGCAGAAGACAUGGGAGACGACUCCGAUUCAUCGUUUGAUGCACCCGAUCCUGUUCCAGUCAUAAAGAAGAGGAAAGUUGAAAAGAAACCACAGCCUAAGAAGACAUCAGACAGUGCAUUAUCAGACGAUGAUGAUGAUGAGGUAGAUGAUGAGGUGCUGGCCAAGCAGCUGCAGCAAGAGGAAGAGAUGAAUCUCAGGACCCGGCGGCGGCCACAGAAGAAACCUGUAGCCCCCAGGAAACCCAAAGAAAAGAAAGAAAGGAAAGGAACAUCCAUGUACAGCAAGCCGUGUCAGCUGUCACCGGAGCUGGCUGCUGUCAUUGGUCAGGACCAGUUGUCUCGGCAUGAAAUAGUGAAGCGGAUGUGGGAGGUGAUGAGGGAGCGAGAACUGCAGGAUCCCAAGAAUAAACAAUUUAUGGUUUGUGACGAAGAACUACAAAAGAUAUUUGGCAGGAAGCGGGUUCGGAUGUUCGGGAUGAUGAAGUGGUUGACCAAACACAUCAGAAGCAUGGAUGACCUUGAGUGAAGCAGCAGUGAAUCUACAUGAAGAUUGUGUAACUAGUUGCUUUUUAAGUGAAUGAGUGCGAUGGACAAGACACCUGUUGAAGACGCUAUCAGAGAUAAUGUUGUCCUCCAUUUCCCAAAGAGGCAACUACUUGGAGGCAGCACAGUGUCAUUUGACUGAACAGUAUGUCAGUCAUACUAUACCCCUCCCUCCUUCAGCAUUCCAUUGCAGACAAACAAUCAUUCAUCAUAUAUUCCAUUACUUGCCCUGUGUAGAUUGCAAUAGUUCCAGAGAGCAAGGAAACAGAAAUAUUUAACAAGAGUAAUUAUUUAGACAUAACAAUGACAAGCCACAGACAUAGUUUCCUUUGUUAUUUGUUCACAUGAAAGGAACAUCAAGUAGUUUUAGGUGUCAUCAAAUAUUCAUGAUUCUUCCAUUUCUGUUCCGUGUC
This 1291-nucleotide unclassified non-coding RNA is filed under the name Haliotis rufescens (red abalone). RNAcentral describes it as "glutamic acid-rich protein-like, transcript variant X2". The record is from RNAcentral. Lineage: Eukaryota; Metazoa; Mollusca; Gastropoda; Lepetellida; Haliotidae.